GAGACAUUACCAGUCAGUACAAUCCAAUUCCAGUCAUUAAUUAAAAUAAAUAUUCACACUCAUCCUAGUUUUAAGAUGUUGUCCCUUUAAUGGGCCAUCGCGGUUCAAUAUGAACAGUAAAUUCAAUAUGGAACUAAUUUAGAAUCACUACGAAUUUUUAAUAAAUUUCAAAAUUCAUACUAUAUACCGUUGCCAACCAUAAUUUACUUAUUUCAUCAAUACUUUUACAACCUAAAUGACUCUCGUUAAACAUCCUAGGUACAUGCCAUUAUCAAUACUCAACAUACUUUACCUUAUUGAAUUCGGGAUUGGUCUGAGAUGCUGAUUCAACAGUCUAGCCUUAACUUAACCUGCGCACGGAAACAAACCGUACGCUGAGUAUACACCCAGUGGUAUUUCUAUAAUCUGAACACUUAAGCAAUUAUAAAACUUAUUAAUUUAUAUAUAUCGAACUAUUCAAACUCAAUGAGUAUUCAAACAUUCACUUUUCAACCAAUGUUUUGGUCUACUUUAAAUUUCAAAUCAUUUAUUAAUUUCAAUAGCAAUUAAUCAAUCAGUAAUGUUCAUUAACAAUUAGAACAAUUAUUUAUUCAGUAACAGUCAGUUAUUCGGCAACAAUCAAUUAUUCAAUAAUAACUAGUUAUUCAGUAUCGAUCAAUUGAUUGGCUAUCCAGUAACAGUCAAUUAUUUAGUAAAAUCAGAUAUUCAGUAGCAAUUAAGUUAUUCAGUGACAAUCAGUUAUUCAGUAAUGAUCAUUUAUUCAGUAAUAUCCAGUUAUUCAGUAACAGUCUAUUAUCCAGUAACGGUCAAUUAUUCAGUAACAGUAAAUUAUUCAGAAAUAAUCAGUUAUUUUAUACAUUUAUUUACCCCUAUUAACAUGACUCGGACUCAGACGGAUACACGGAUCCAACCAACACACCAAUACGGCACAUAGUGCCUCAUCGGCCGAAGUCGGAACAGUAACAGUAACAGUAGCAAUACGUGUAACACCCCUCGCCCGCAUUCGACGCCGGGACGGGGUUCGAGGUGCUACCUAACUUUUACUAACACUUCUAUACUAAACAGGGCCAUAAAAUCUCAAAUAAUUAAAAACGUUUCUUUUCACAUACAAUUUGUCCCAUAUACGGGCUUACGAGGCCCAAAACAUACAUCUGGAGUGGUUCGGGACCCAACCGAGAACUCAUGAAAAACUUAGAAAAUCUCUUGCAUCAAGGCUUCAUACGCCCGUGUGGGUAUAGAGCACACGCCCGUGUGCUAGGGACACGCCCGUGUCCCGAACCCGUGUCCAAAAACCUAGACAAAUACAAGGCUAUUUUCCAAGCCAUUUUGUCACACUCACAACAGAUGCACGCAUACUUAUACAAUAACAUACAGCAUGGCAAAAUUAGGUACUUAAACAUUCCUAACAUGGAAUGAUUAUGGCAAUUUCACAUGCAAUAGAUAUCAUAGAUUUUACUCACAUCUUUACCACAUUCAUGCUAUAAUCAUUAUAAACUCAUCACAUAAUACCAUAGCGCAUGCAUGCAUAAUUAAAAUGGAUUUACAACCCCAUAAUCAAAAUAGGCCAAGACAUAUGGCUAAAGCCAUAUCACAUACUCUAAUAUUUAAACUCCUAUACAUGCCAUAGGCUCAAAGUACUUGAAAUCACUACACCAAUAACAUUAGCUUGACAGUGUGAUAAUAUCUCCGACGAACUCCAACCCGAGCUAACCUGACAACCCUAGGAAACAUGGGAAAGAAGGGGGGGUAAGCUUUCGCUUAGUAAGUUCAUAUGAAAACAAGAAGCAACUCAUUAACUUGUUUUAUCAAUGUUUACAACAUAUUCUCAAGUUCACUACAAGCUGUCUUUCUGAGUAAUAGUAACUAAAUUAUUUAUAUCUGGAGCUAUAAAACUCCGAAUUAAGUUCCGUUCAUUUUCCAUGAAACUAGACUUAUUUUCCUUUCUUCUAUAAAAUUUUCAGAAUUUUUGGUUAAGCCAAAUAGUACAGUUUAUUCCUCAAAUUUACCCCUGAUUCACUGUCUGAUAGUUUCGACCCUUCUGUACUAAAGUUCAAUUAUCUCAUAGUACAAGACUCAAAUAAUGUUCUCGUCUAUUUCUCUUGAAACUAGACUCAUAUUUAUACUUAAUAUUUUUUUCUAGAAUUUUUGGUUGGGCCAAUUAGUACAGUUUAUUAGUUAAAGUCUCCCCUAUUUCAGGGUAUGACCACUUUGACCCCUGUGCACUACAAACAAAAUUUCUCCCUGUACAGAAUUUCAACGACUAUACCGUUUAUUUCCCCUAAAAUAGACUCAAUAAGGAAUCCAUGCAUGUAAUGUAUGACUCUUAAUAAUUUUUGUACAAUUUUUGGUGAAUUUCUAAAGUCAGAAUAGGGGAUCUCGAAUUCAUUCAGACCCUGUUUCACAAGAAUUCAAAUAUCACACAAUAUGGAAUUCUUUUUCUUCCCCUGUUUCUUUCAUGUGAAAAUACACUUAUUAAGCUUUAAUCCCAUAUUUUAUUCUGCCUCUAACUCAUUUUUAAAUAUUUUUAGUGUAUUUUCAAAGUUACACUACUGCAGUAACUCAAAUCUGUCAAGGCUAAAUUACUCAUUCAUGAUCAUUGUUCACAAAAUUAAUACAACAUCAUUUGUAUAAUCAUCACCGAGACAUUCAUAUCACAUUUUCAUUUACCAUCUUACCAUUUUGUUGUUAUGUCGAGUUUUCAACCCGAGGGUUAAGUACAUACCUGUUCAAAGUAUCCAUUUCACAACAUUUAUCAAUACGUCCCUUUCAUCUCGAGUAUUCCUCCAUUUGAGUAGAAUUUUACCCAUUGAACACAUCAGAAUAUAAUUCGGAUACAUAGAAAGUUUGCACAUAAGUGCCACGUAUGUAGCCAAGCUACCAUGUAACCCGCCUAUAAGUGAACUCGGACAGCAUCCAUAAGUGAACUCGGACUCAACUCAACGAGCUCGGAUGCCUAGUUACAUCUCACGAACUCGGACUCAACUCAACGAGUUCGAACAUUCGCAUCCAUAAGUGAACUCGGACUCAACUCAACGAGCUCGGAUGCCCAAAUAUUUCAGUGACAUGUCACUUGUAUCCUAAUCUAUUCCUAAGGUUCAACGGGACCUUUUUCCCAAUCAUGUGUCUCAACCAUCUUCUACGGAAUGCCGAUACCAAUACUCGGUAGUAUUUCACAUUUUCCAAGUAUAUCAUAUAAUUUGACAUAUUAUUAAACAAUUAUCACAAGUAUAAUAUCUCAUAAUAAUUAUCAUAUCAUUUAAAUAACAUCAAAACAUUUAAAAUAAUAACUAUGUUACCAACAUUUACAUAUGAACUUACCUCGAUACCACAAAGGUAAAAAAAGACGUAAUUAUCCCUUAAUCGAUUUCUUUUCGUUCUAGGUCCAAAUCUCAAUUUUUAUCAUCUAAAAUAUCACAUUCAACUUAUUAAAACAAUGUACUAAUCAAAUUAGUCCAUUGACACACUUGAGCAAUUUUUACAAUUUUGCCCCUAUAUUUUGCCAAAAUUACCAAAUUACCCCUAGGCUCGUAAAAUAAUUUUUAUCACAUUUCUUUACUCCUUGAGUCUAGAUGAACCAUUUUCAUAACUAUAGCAACUCAUAAUUUCAACUAUUUCACACAUUUACAACUCAUUUUACAACUUAGCAAUCUAGCUUUUUUUAAGGUAUUUUCAUGCAAUUUCUUUCACAAAAGUUGUUUAUUAGACAACUAGGACUCAUAAUCUUCCAUAAAAACACAGCAAACAACACAUUUACUCUCAUGGCAAAACCCUGGACUCUUCAUCAUUUUGCAAAAUAGACCCCUCAUAUGAAAGCUCAUGCUUUAGGGGUUCCAAAAAUGUAAAAAUCAUCAAGAAAGACAUUAAAAAUCACUUACUAGCAAGGGAUGUAAGUGGCUGAUAUUUCAGAGCUUCAAAACCCCUUUCUUUUCUGCCAUUUUCGGUGGAGGAGAAGAGAAAAAUGAUAGCUUUUUCUUUUUAAUUUGUUAAUAAUAAAAUUAGUCAAAAUUGGUGACCAACUUCACCUAAUUUUGACUUUUCAACAAUUUUUUUUGUCUCCCAUGGC
RNAcentral lists this long non-coding RNA (4063 nucleotides) under Gossypium barbadense (sea-island cotton). RNAcentral's name for it is "long non-coding RNA (GBAR_LNC003890)". The record is from RNAcentral. Lineage: Eukaryota; Viridiplantae; Streptophyta; Magnoliopsida; Malvales; Malvaceae.